Molecule: ribosomal RNA, 637 nt
Filed under: Leucosporidium sp. AY30
Lineage: Eukaryota; Fungi; Basidiomycota; Microbotryomycetes; Leucosporidiales; Leucosporidiaceae
Description: eukaryotic LSU rRNA
Rfam family: Eukaryotic large subunit ribosomal RNA
Source: RNAcentral
GCAUAUCAAUAAGCGGAGGAAAAGAAACUAACAAGGAUUCCCCUAGUAACGGCGAGUGAAGCGGGAAGAGCUCAAAUUUGUAAUCUGGCCCUUUCAGGGUCCGAGUUGUAAUCUCGAGAAGUGUUUUCCGCGCCGGACCGCAUACAAGUCUGUUGGAAUACAGCGUCAUAGUGGUGAGAGCCCCGUAAUUGAUGUGGAUGCCCGGUGCUUUGUGAUACACUUUCGAAGAGUCGAGUUGUUUGGGAAUGCAGCUCAAAUUGGGUGGUAAAUUCCAUCUAAAGCUAAAUAUUGGCGAGAGACCGAUAGCGAACAAGUACCGUGAGGGAAAGAUGAAAAGCACUUUGGAAAGAGAGUUAACAGUACGUGAAAUUGUUGGAAGGGAAACGCUUGAAGUCAGACUUGCUAUUCGGAAUUCAGCCGCAAGGUGUACUUUUCGAUUUGCAGGCCAGCAUCAGUUUUUGGGGGUGGAAAAGGGUGGAGAGAAGGUAGCAACCUUGGUUGUGUUAUAGCUCUUUACUGGAUUCAUCUUUGGGGACUGAGGAUCGAAGUGCGCAAUUUACUUUGCAAACCUUUCGAGGUUUUCGUACUUAGGAUGCUGGUGGAAUGGCUUUAAACGACCCGUCUUGAAACACGGACC